CGUGAGCUGACCCAGUCAUGUAUGGUGACAUCUGCUCUUCAGAGUGGAAGCUUGCCAUCCAUACCCGAGACCUCUGGGAACCAUACAGACAUCCCCAGGAGAUGAGGAAAUAAGUUUUCCUGGGGGUGAGAUGCACAUAACAACAACUUGUGUCCUGAUGACAAGGCUGUGCCCAGAGGCUCACAGGAACCUAACCCAGUAUUUCCCCCGAAGAACAGAGUGGACAUGUGCUCUGCAUCAGCUCUCGGGGCAGCGUGGGCAGCACGUGAGCAGAUCCACCAAGGACGCCAAGCCUGAAGCCUGCAAACAAACUCCUCACAGUGGACACCGACCCAAGAAGGGGCUUCGCGGUGAGCUCCUGGACAUUUCCAAGCACUCCAGGAGGCUGGCCAUGGGCCAAUCCUCUGGAUGAGCCAGGAAGGGGAGCUGCUCUCCUGCAGACACUCCGCGUCCAGGCAAAGACGUGGAGCCACCUUUACCCAGGUUGAGAAGUUGGCACAUCACAGGCCCAACUCACUCAACGUUCGUCUGCGGGCAGUGACGGGGAGAUGGGACAGGGCCUCGUGCAGACACUGACCAGCGAGGGGACCCCUCCAAGCCACACGGCUCUUCAGGGGCCCUUCCCUCGUCCCUGGAAGCAGAGAGCAGCAUGUCUAACCUGGGAUGGCCCCGCUCAGUUGUCCAGCUCCUACAGCACCGAGCAAACAGCGACCCCGGUAGGAACAGCAUUGCCGCAGGGAUGGCGCCGCUGCUGAGCGCCUGCUGCCCGCCAAGGAGCUGACGUAAACGGCCACGCACCGCCGUCACGGUGACCGAGGGGCUGGGGUCACGGUCCCUGCUUUGUCAGCUAGGUG
Long non-coding RNA from Bubalus bubalis (water buffalo), 854 nucleotides. RefSeq lists it as uncharacterized. The record is from RefSeq and is a predicted model, not a curated record. Lineage: Eukaryota; Metazoa; Chordata; Mammalia; Artiodactyla; Bovidae. The transcript is spliced from 5 exons.